RNAcentral lists this ribosomal RNA (1252 nucleotides) under uncultured bacterium. Its description in RNAcentral is "bacterial SSU rRNA". It matches the Rfam family "Bacterial small subunit ribosomal RNA", at positions 18 to 1291 of the family's 1533-position model. The record is from RNAcentral.
CCUGGCUCAGGACGAACGCUGGCGGCGCGCCUAACACAUGCAAGUCGAACGAGAGAUGAGGAGCUUGCUCUUCAAAUCGAGUGGCGAACGGGUGAGUAACGCGUGAGGAACCUGCCUCAAAGAGGGGGACAACAGUUGGAAACGACUGCUAAUACCGCAUAAGCCCACAGCUCGGCAUCGAGCAGAGGGAAAAGGAGUGAUCCGCUUUGAGAUGGCCUCGCGUCCGAUUAGCUGGUUGGUGAGGUAACGGCCCACCAAGGCGAUGAUCGGUAGCCGGACUGAGAGGUUGAACGGCCACAUUGGGACUGAGACACGGCCCAGACUCCUACGGGAGGCAGCAGUGGGGAAUAUUGCACAAUGGGGGAAACCCUGAUGCAGCGACGCCGCGUGGAGGAAGAAGGUCUUCGGAUUGUAAACUCCUGUUGUUGAGGAAGAUAAUGACGGUACUCAACAAGGAAGUGACGGCUAACUACGUGCCAGCAGCCGCGGUAAAACGUAGGUCACAAGCGUUGUCCGGAAUUACUGGGUGUAAAGGGAGCGCAGGCGGGAGAACAAGUUGGAAGUGAAAUCCAUGGGCUCAACCCAUGAACUGCUUUCAAAACUGUUUUUCUUGAGUAGUGCAGAGGUAGGCGGAAUUCCCGGUGUAGCGGUGGAAUGCGUAGAUAUCGGGAGGAACACCAGUGGCGAAGGCGGCCUACUGGGCACCAACUGACGCUGAGGCUCGAAAGUGUGGGUAGCAAACAGGAUUAGAUACCCUGGUAGUCCACACCGUAAACGAUGAUUACUAGGUGUUGGAGGAUUGACCCCUUCAGUGCCGCAGUUAACACAAUAAGUAAUCCACCUGGGGAGUACGACCGCAAGGUUGAAACUCAAAGGAAUUGACGGGGGCCCGCACAAGCAGUGGAGUAUGUGGUUUAAUUCGACGCAACGCGAAGAACCUUACCAAGUCUUGACAUCCCUUGACGAACAUAGAAAUAUGUUUUCUCUUCGGAGCAAGGAGACAGGUGGUGCAUGGUUGUCGUCAGCUCGUGUCGUGAGAUGUUGGGUUAAGUCCCGCAACGAGCGCAACCCUUAUGGUCAGUUACUACGCAAGAGGACUCUGGCCAGACUGCCGUUGACAAAACGGAGGAAGGUGGGGAUGACGUCAAAUCAUCAUGCCCUUUAUGACUUGGGCUACACACGUACUACAAUGGCGUUAAACAAAGAGAAGCAAGACCGCGAGGUGGAGCAAAACUCAGAAACAACGUCCCAA